ACGCGUGGAACCUUACCAGGUCUUGACAUCCUCUGACACUCCUAGAGAUAGGACGUUCCCCUUCGGGGGACAGAGUGACAGGUGGUGCAUGGUUGUCGUCAGCUCGUGUCGUGAGAUGUUGGGUUAAGUCCCGCAACGAGCGCAACCCUUGAUCUUAGUUGCCAGCAUUCAGUUGGGCACUCUAAGGUGACUGCCGGUGACAAACCGGAGGAAGGUGGGGAUGACGUCAAAUCAUCAUGCCCCUUAUGACCUGGGCUACACACGUGCUACAAUGGACGGUACAAACGGUUGCCAACCCGCGAGGGGGAGCUAAUCCGAUAAAACCGUUCUCAGUUCGGAUUGUAGGCUGCAACUCGCCUACAUGAAGCCGGAAUCGCUAGUAAUCGCGGAUCAGCAUGCCGCGGUGAAUACGUUCCCGGGCCUUGCACACACCGCCCGU
RNAcentral lists this ribosomal RNA (439 nucleotides) under uncultured bacterium. RNAcentral's name for it is "bacterial SSU rRNA". It matches the Rfam family "Bacterial small subunit ribosomal RNA", at positions 959 to 1397 of the family's 1533-position model. The record is from RNAcentral.